GGGAGGGGGGGCGAGCGUUGUUCGGAAUUACUGGGCGUAAAGGGCGCGUAGGGCGGGAUAUCGUGUCAGGGGGGUGAAAGUCCUGGGCUCAACCUGGGGACUGCCUUUGAAACUGAUAUUCUUGAGACCGGGAGAGGAUGGCGGAAUUCCCAGUGUAGAGGUGAAAUUCGUAGAUAUUGGGAAGAACACCGGUGGCGAAGGCGGCCAUCUGGACCGGACCUGACGCUGAGGCGCGAAAGCGUGGGGAGCAAACAGGAUUAGAUACCCUGGUAGUCCACGCCGUAAACGAUGUGUGCUAGCCGUUGGGGCACUUAGUGUUUCAGUGGCGCAGCUAACGCGUUAAGCACACCGCCUGGGGAGUACGGCCGCAAGGUUA
Molecule: ribosomal RNA, 376 nt
Filed under: uncultured organism
Description: partial 16S ribosomal RNA
Rfam family: Bacterial small subunit ribosomal RNA
Source: RNAcentral